GGCCGCCUGGCGAAAUGGUAUCGCGUCUGACUACGACUCGUAUCAAUCAGGAGAUUGCAGGUUCGAGCCCUGCGGUGGUCA
Rhizoctonia solani is the source of this 81-nucleotide transfer RNA. It matches the Rfam family "tRNA". From Rfam's summary of the family: Transfer RNA (tRNA) molecules are approximately 80 nucleotides in length. Their secondary structure includes four short double-helical elements and three loops (D, anti-codon, and T loops). The record is from Rfam. Lineage: Eukaryota; Fungi; Basidiomycota; Agaricomycetes; Cantharellales; Ceratobasidiaceae.